CACCUUCGCUUCUCCAAGGUCGCGCACCUUGAAGACCUUCGCAAUUGCAGCUUUAAUUGCCCGGACCAUUUCCGGGUCUUCCGACGCAACAAUGGUAUCAUCUACGUGCACCAAAGCAAUAACAACCCCACGCUCGUCAGUCUUAACAAACAUCGCCGGAUCAGACUUCGAAGGGUAAAGACCCAGCUUGGCAAACUCUGCUGAUAGUUUUUUCAUACCAGCAACGGGGUGCCUGCUUCAAACCGUAAAUAGAUUUCUGCAGCUUGCACGCAAGCGACCGGUCACUGGACGCAUACCCAGGUGGUUGCUCCAUCCACAACUCCUCCUUCAGCUCACCAUUCAGAAACGCAGUAGACACAUCUAGCUGGUGUACCGUCAUGUCCCGCGCUGCGGCAACUGCUAAUAAAGCACGCAAUGACGAACCACGAGAGGUAGGGGCAAACAACUCCCCAUAAUCAAUCCCCUCGCGUUGCUCGAAACCCUUGGCAACUAAACACGCCUUAAAACGCUCCACGCUGCCGUCAUCGCUGUACUUAACCUUAUAAACCCACCGACACGGCAACAAACGAGUACCAGGUGGUGGCUUCUUCAGCUCCCAAGUACUAUUAGCCAUCUGGGCGGCGAUCUCCUCGUCCAUCGCACGCCGCCAGUCGUCUGCAUGUGGACUCGCAAUGGCUUCCGCAAAAGAAUUCGGUUCGGGAAUAUCAGUAGAGAAAGCAGCGUUAACGCGACCAGUAACAGUGCGACCAGGUUCAUUUCGCCACCAUUCGCCAGGGCGUUUAUGCUCUCUAACUGGGUACCUAGUUCCCGCCAUUUCCACAUCAGGCUGAUUGAUUCCUUGCCCGUUCGCACUGCUGGAAGGUCCAGCCCCAGCCGGCGCCCCCUCGCCACCCAAAUGCGGCGAUCCCUCGCCGACGGUGCUACCUGGUGUCCCUUCGCCAGCCCUAGGCAGCGAUCCCUCACCAGAUAAACUAGUGCGAAACUCCUCCUCCUCGUCGGCAUCGGACUCAUAAUCGGAGUCCCCGGCAUUACACCGCCGGCCGACAUUAGAUUCAUCGAAACGAACGUUAGAAACUACGGCAAUAAUGCCGUCCUCGUAUAGUACACGAUACUGUCCACCGUUCCCGUAUCCGACAAGUAUUCCACGCCUGCUCACCGGGUCGAACUUGUCGCGCUUGACGUCGGGUACGUGGACGNNNNNNNNNNNNNNNNNNNNNNNNNNNNNNNNNNNNNNNNNNNNNNNNNNAAGAAAGCUUCGUACGGAGUGACGGUUGACCCAGCAGUUGGCGACACAUUCCUAAGAUAGUUGGCUGUCGCUAACGCCUCCGCCCAUAAUGAUUUAGGCAGUCCAGACUCAACUAGCAUAGCCCUAGUCUUGUCCAAAAGAGUGCGAUUUAAACGUUCUGCAGCUCCGUUCUGCUCAGGGGUGUAGCCUACCGUAGUUCCGUGUACAAUUCCCCUGGAAGCGAAAUAGGCCUUCGUGCGAGUAUUAACGAACUCCCCGCCACGAUCUGUACGCACCUCCUUAACCUGCCUGCCAGUAGCGCGCUCCAGUUCCGCUAUCAUUACCACCAUCUUCUGGUAGACCUCCUCCUUGGUCGCUGUAAACGCAACAGCUGAAAGACCAGUAUGGUCGUCAAGCAGGGUUGUCACGUAACGCGAACCACUAGGCGAAGGUUCAGGCAUAGGCCCACACACAUCCAUGUGGAUUAAUGCUAGUGGCUGUGUUGCCUUAUGCCCUGUUAGCGGAAAAGGGCCACGUGUAUGUUUAGCAAGGACGCAAGUCUCACACACACACGCGCUGGCUGAUUGUAUGCUGUGUCGGUCAACAUCAAAACCAGCUACCAUAUUAUGACGCAGCAACGUCUCAAGGUUGCUGUAUCCCAAGUGGCCAUACCGUCGGUGCCAAAGUGCUGCACGUUCAGCUCCGAUACCCACGGCAGCACACACUGCAUCACCACCAGAAGGUAUCCUGUUGUCUUCACGCUGCGUCCUCUUCAGAGCUCCCGUACCUCCACUGCUGUAGCAGACGGGAUACAAGUCCCCAUCCCGCUUUCCAGUCAGCACCAACUGGUUCUGUACGUAUACUUUCGCCUGUCCGCCGCCGAAGACCACACUGCCUCCACGAUCAUCAAUGAUGCGGACCGAUAUGAUUUUGGCGGUGGCCUCCUCGUCGACAUAGACCUUCUUGAAAGUGAUGGCCUGUUUAUCGUUGACGUUAGACCGAAUCGUAAGCGUGCCAACUUCAGUCGGUCGAAGAGAUUGUCCCUUGAUGCCCAUGAUGUUGAAGCGCUCCCAUGGCUCCAACAGCCGCACGUUGAAAAGUUCUGAGCGGUCAUACGUUAUGUGGUGAGUGGCGGCUGAGUCCAGAAAUCAUUCCGUCGGACGCUCGCUGUUAUAUGCUACGAACGCUACCUGCCGCGGAACUCCUGGCCCCCUAGCUGAUCCACCGGAUCCUGGCUUGCUGCCGCUAGCUCCGCUGCCACUACCUCCGUUACCACUGUUGUUGUACCCACCCUUAUAGCCAGAAUUUGACGACUGCUUCAGCGCUUUAAGCUGCCUGCAGUCCUUUACCACGUGCCCAGGUUUGUUACAGUAGUAGCAGAUGAGCUGUUUCCGACUGUGUCCCGAGCUGUUGUUAGCCGGCCCCCGGCUACCAUAACCAGAAGUAGAAGCGCCGAAAGUCGAACCGCCGACAGACGCGAAGGCUGCCGACUCGGUAGGCUUGCCCGACCCACCGUUAGCCGUCUCGAUAGAGAGAAGCUUUGCUGUGACGCUCGCCAUGUCCAAAUCGCCGUCGCGCAUUAGUAAUGUAGUCGUCACCACGCUGUACCGACUGGGUAGACCAACUAGGACGGUUUAUGCCAGCUCGGAGUCGUUGAUUACGUGGCCGACUCCCAAUAAAUCCGUUUGCAGCUGUCUUGCACGCGCAAAGUACAUCGGGAGAGGUUCGCCGUCGACCAUCUUAAAACGGCUGAAUUCUUGACGUAGAGACACCUUGCGGGCGUUGUUGUUGGCAGCAAACAUAGAUCCCAAGGCGUCCCAGGCCUUCUUCGCGUUGGCAGCACCGGUAACCAUCGGCAAAUGAUGAUCUUUGACGUUCUUGAUGAGCAGAUUGAUGACCUUCCGUGAUUGUCGAAUCUGCUCCUCGUUGCACGGCUCGGCGAGCAGGGAUUGCUCAAGCCCAAGCUCCAUGUCUGUCGGCGGUUUGACGUUCGGCGCUUCUACUUCUGGUUAUGGUAGCCGGGGGCCGGCUAACAACAGCUCGGGACACAGUCGGAAGCAACUCAUCUGCUACUACUGUAAUAAACCUGGGCACGUGGUUAAGGACUGCAGGCAGCUUAAAGCGCUGAAGCAGUCGUCAAAUUCUGGCUAUAAGGGUGGAUACAACAACAGUGGCAACGGAGGUAGUGGCAGCGGAGCUAGCGUCAGCAAGCCAGGAUCCGGUGGAUCAGCUAGGGGGCCAGGAGUUCCGCGGCAGGUAGCGUUCGUAGCAUACAACAGCGAGCGUCCGACGGAAUGGUUUCUGGACUCAGCCGCCACUCACCACAUAACGUAUGUGUUGAGGAAACGGUCCUCUCUCAACUCAUGUGGUUGUCGACCAUGGGAUUUGACCCCGGGUCUGCGCCUGACUACUGGGGAAGACUUACCCCAGAACCUUAUGGGGCUACCGAUGCAUAGUCGGUAGCUAAGUGAUAGACAUUAGGGCACCGUCUGGACGGCGCAGUGAGAUCACGGAAUGUACGUGCAGUUAGAUCGCGGAAUGUACGAGUUUUCCGCUAGCGCCGGUAUUUAGGGCGGUGACUGCGCCUAUUAGUCUAUCUCACAACGAUCGGUAUUCCUACCAGGAAUCUCCUCAAGUCCUGCCGAACGCUAACAAUACUCUUUACAUAACUUGUAACAGUUUAUCGUGCUAAAUAUCUUCGCCACCGGCAAUCCUUCCGGAAUAACAAUCAGUGUUAGCCGUCACCGUCGCCAAUUCUUCAAUAGUAUGACCGCUCAGAACUUUUCAAUGUGCGGUUGUUGGAGCCAUGGGAGCGCUUCAACAUCAUGGGCAUCAAGGGACAGUCUCUUCGACCGACUGAAGUUGGCACGCUAACGAUUCGGUCUAACAUCAACGAUAAACAGGCCAUCACUUUCAAGAAGGUCUACGUCGACGAGGAGGCCACCGCCAAAAUCAUAUCGGUCCGCAUCAUUGAUGAUCGUGGAGGCAGUGUGGUCUUCGGCGGCGGACAGGCGAAAGUAUACGUACAGAACCAGUUGGUGCUGACUGGAAAGCGGGAUGGGGACUUGUAUCCCGUCUGCUACAGCAGUGGAGGUACGGGAGCUCUGAAGUGGACGCAGCGUGAAGACAACAGGAUACCUUCUGGUGGUGAUGCAGUGUGUGCUGCCGUGGGUAUCGGAGCUGAACGUGCAGCACUUUGGCACCGAAGGUAUGGCCACUUAGGAUACAGCAACCUUGAGGCGUUGCUGCGUCAUGAUAUGGUAACUGGGUUCGAUGUUGACCGACACAGCAUACAAUCAGCCAGCGUGUGUGUGUGUGAGACUUGCGUCCUUGCAAAGCAUACACGUGGUCCUUUUCCGUUAACUGGGCAUAAGGCAGCGCAGCCUCUCGCGCUCAUUCACAUGGAUGUGUGUGGACCUAUGCCUGAACCUUAGUGGUUCGCGUUACGUGACAACUCUGCUUGACGACCAUACUGGUCUUUCAGCUGUUGCGUUUACAGCGACCAAGGAGGAGGUCUACCAGAAGAUGGUGGUAAUGAUAGCGGGACUGGAGCACGCUACUGGCAGGCAGGUUAAGGAGGUGUUGAGGAAACGGUCCUCUCCCAACUCGUGUGGUUGUCGACCAGGGGAUUUGACCCCGGGUCUGCGCCUGACUAUUGGGGAAGACUUACCCCAGAACCUUAUGGGGCUACCAAUGCAUAUCCGGUAGGUAAGUGAUAGACAUUAGGGCACCGUCUGGACGGCGCAGUGAGAUCGCGGAAUGUACGUGCAGUUAGAUCGCGGAAUGUACGAGUUUUCCGCUAGCGCCGGUAUUUAGGGCGGUGACUGCGCCUAUUAGUUUAUCUCACAACGAUCGGUAUUCCUACCAGGAAUCUCCUCAAGUCCUGCCGAACGCUAACAAUACUCUUUACAUUACUUGUAACAAUUUAUCGUGCUAAAUAUCUUCGCCACCGGCAAUCCUUCCGGAAUAACAAUUAGCGUUAGCUGUCACCGUCGCCAAUUCUUCAAUAGGUUAUGAGCCCCGAUUAGCGCCGACAGUUAUCGCCCAAUUGUUAUUUCUAUCCCUCAUCAACAAUGGUUAAGGACAAGCUUGAUGAGUCGCUGGAUCUCAACAACUACUCUACCUGGCAAAUUGGGUUCAGCGCGUUGUGCAUGGAGCUUGGGCUUGAGCAAUCCCUGCUCGCCGAGCCGUGCAUCGAGGAGCAAAUUCGACAGUCACGGAAGGUCAUCAAUCUGCUCAUCAAGAACGUCAAGGAUCAUCAUUUGCCGAUGGUUACCGGUGCUGCCAACGCGAAGAAGGCCUGGGACGCCUUGGGAUCUAUGUUUGCUGCCAACAACAACGCCCGCAAGGUGUCUCUACGUCAAGAAUUCAGCCGUUUUAAGAUGGUCGACGGCGAACCUCUUCCGAUGUACUUUGCGCGUGCAAGGCAGCUGCAAACAGAUUUAUUGGGAGUCGGCCACGUAGUUAACGACUCCGAGCUGGCGUACACCGUGCUAGUUGGUCUACCCAGUCGGUACAGCAUGGUGACGACUACAUUACUUAUGCGCGACGGCGAUUUGGACAUGGCGAACGUCACAGCAAAGCUUCUCUCUAUCGAGACGGCUAACGGUGGGUCGGGCAAGCCUACCGAGUCGGCAGCCUUCGCGUCUGUCGGCGGUUCGACGUUCGGCGCUUCUACUUCUGGUUAUGGUAGCCGGGGGCCGGCUAACAACAGCUCGGGACAUAGUCGGAAGCAAGUCAUCUGCUACUACUGUAAUAAACCUGGGCACGUGGUUAAGGACUGCAGGCAGCUUAAGGCGCUGAAGCAGUCGUCAAAUUCUGGCUACAAGGGUGGCUACAGCAACAGUGGUAACGGAGGUAGUGGCAGCGGAGCUAGCGGCAGCAAGCCAGGAUCCGGUNNNNNNNNNNNNNNNNNNNNNNNNNNNNNNNNNNNNNNNNNNNNNNNNNNNNNNNNNNNNNNNNNNNNNNNNNNNNNNNNNNNNNNNNNNNNNNNNNNNNNNNNNNNNNNNNNNNAUAAACAGGCCAUCACUUUCAAGAAGGUCUACGUCGACGAGGAGGCCACCGCCAAAAUCAUAUCGGUCCGCAUCAUUGAUGAUCGUGGAGGCAGUGUGGUCUUCGGCGGCGGACAGGCGAAAGUAUACGUACAGAACCAGUUGGUGCUGACUGGAAAGCGGGAUGGGGACUUGUAUCCCGUCUGCUACAGCAGUGGAGGUACGGGAGCUCUGAAGUGGACGCAGCGUGAAGACAACAGGAUACCUUCUGGUGGUGAUGCAGUGUGUGCUGCCGUGGGUAUCGGAGCUGAACGUGCAGCACUUUGGCACCGAAGGUAUGGCCACUUAGGAUACAGCAACCUUGAGGCGUUGCUGCGUCAUGAUAUGGUAACUGGGUUCGAUGUUGACCGACACAGCAUACAAUCAGCCAGCGUGUGUGUGUGUGAGACUUGCGUCCUUGCAAAGCAUACACGUGGUCCUUUUCCGUUAACUGGGCAUAAGGCAGCGCAGCCUCUCGCGCUCAUUCACAUGGAUGUGUGUGGACCUAUGCCUGAACCUUAGUGGUUCGCGUUACGUGACAACUCUGCUUGACGACCAUACUGGUCUUUCAGCUGUUGCGUUUACAGCGACCAAGGAGGAGGUCUACCAGAAGAUGGUGGUAAUGAUAGCGGGACUGGAGCACGCUACUGGCAGGCAGGUUAAGGAGGUGUUGAGGAAACGGUCCUCUCCCAACUCGUGUGGUUGUCGACCAGGGGAUUUGACCCCGGGUCUGCGCCUGACUAUUGGGGAAGACUUACCCCAGAACCUUAUGGGGCUACCAAUGCAUAUCCGGUAGGUAAGUGAUAGACAUUAGGGCACCGUCUGGACGGCGCAGUGAGAUCGCGGAAUGUACGUGCAGUUAGAUCGCGGAAUGUACGAGUUUUCCGCUAGCGCCGGUAUUUAGGGCGGUGACUGCGCCUAUUAGUUUAUCUCACAACGAUCGGUAUUCCUACCAGGAAUCUCCUCAAGUCCUGCCGAACGCUAACAAUACUCUUNNNNNNNNNNNNNNNNNNNNNNNNNNNNNNNNNNNNNNNNNNNNNNNNNNNNNNNNNNNNNNCAGGAGUUCCGCGGCAGGUAGCGUUCGUGGCAUACAACAGCGAGCGUCCGACGGAAUGGUUUCUGGACUCAGCAGCCACUCACCACAUAACUUAUGACCGCUCAGAACUUUCCAACGUGCGGUUAUUGGAGCCAUGGGAGCGCUUCAACAUCAUGGGCAUCAAGGGACAGUCUCUUCGGCCGACUGAAGUUGGCACGCUUAUGAUUCGGUCUAACGUCAACGAUAAACAGGCCAUCACUUUCAAGAAGGUCUACGUCGACGAGGAGGCCACCGCCAAAAUCAUAUCGGUCCGCAUCAUUGAUGAUCGUGGAGGCAGUGUGGUCUUCGGCGGCGGACAGGCGAAAGUAUACGUACAGAACCAGUUGGUGCUGACUGGAAAGCGAGAUGGGGACUUGUAUCCCGUCUGCUACAGCAGUGGAGGUACGGGAGCUCUGAAGAGGACGCAGCGUGAAGACAACAGGAUACCUUCUGGUGGUGAUGCAGUGUGUGCUGCCGUGGGUAUCGGAGCUGAACGUGCAGCACUUUGGCACCGAAGGUAUGGCCACUUGGGAUACAGCAACCUUGAGACGUUGCUGCGUCAUAAUAUGGUAGCUGGAUUUGAUGUUGACCGACACAGCAUACAAUCAGCCAGCACGUGUGUGUGUGAGACUUGCGUCCUUGCUAAACAUACACGUGGUCCUUUUCCGUUAUCUGGGCAUAAGGCAGCGCAGCCUCUCGCGCUCAUUCACAUGGAUGUGUGUGGGCCUAUGCCUGAACCUUCGCCUAGUGGUUCGCGUUACGUGACAACCCUACUUGACGACCAUACUGGUCUUUCAGCUGUUGCGUUUACAGCGACCAAGGAGGAGGUCUACCAGAAGAUGGUGGUAAUGAUAGCGGAACUGGCAGGCGCGCUACUGGCAGGCAGGUUAAGGAGGUGCGUACAGAUCGUGGUGGGGAGUUCGUUAAUACUCGCACGAAGGCUUAUUUCGCUUCCAGGGGUAUUGUACACGGAACUACGGUAGGCUACACCCCUGAGCAGAACGGAGCUGCAGAACGUUUAAAUCGCACUCUUUUGGACAAGACUAGGGCUAUGCUAGUUGAGUCUGGACUGCCUAAAUCAUUAUGGGCGGAGGCGUUAGCGACAGCCAACUAUCUUAGGAAUGUGUCGCCAACUGCUGGGUCAACCGUCACUCCGUACGAAGCUUUCUUUAACGUUCGUCCGAACAUCAGUCACCUGCGAGUCUUUGGAUGCGUUGCCUACGUCCACGUACCCGACGUCAAGCGCGACAAGUUCGACCCGGUGAGCAGGCGUGGAAUACUUGUCGGAUACGGGAACGGUGGACAGUAUCGUGUACUAUACGAGGACGGCAUUAUUGCCGUAGUUUCUAACGUUCGUUUCGAUGAAUCUAAUGUCGGCCGGCGGUGUAAUGCCGGGGACUCCGAUUAUGAGUCCGAUGCCGACGAGGAGGAGGAGUUUCGCACUAGUUUAUCUGGUGAGGGAUCGCUGCCUAGGGCUGGCGAAGGGACACCAGGUAGCACCGUCGGCGAGGGAUCGCCGCAUUUGGGUGGCGAGGGGGCGCCGGCUGGGGCUGGACCUUCCAGCAGUGCGAACGGGCAAGGAAUCAAUCAGCCUGAUGUGGAAAUGGCGGGAACUAGGUACCCAGUUAGAGAGCGUAAACGCCCUUNNNNNNNNNNNNNNNNNNNNNNNNNNNNNNNNNNNNNNNNNNNNNNNNNNAUGAUUGACGCCAAGCCGAGGUCUACCCCUUUGCCUCCGGGCUUUAGGUACACUCCUAAGGGGGAAGGAGAGGAGCUGCUGGGCAAUCCCACCGAGUAUAGGGCUUUGGUGGGAGAAUUGAACUAUCUGGCGACGAACACGCGGCCUGACAUUUCAUAUGCAUUGAGCGUUUUGUCCCGGCAUAUGGCCGCACCCACGAAGAGUGCUAUGAACUUAGCAAUCGGCGUUCUGCGUUACCUGGCGGGUACUCGCGAACUAGGAUUGCGUUUUGGGGGUGUUGGCGUUGCUAUGUCCGGGUAUAGCGAUUCUGACUGGGCAGGAGACCCAGUUACUCAGCGUUCUACUUCCGGCUACGUUUUCACUCUUCAUGGGGCUGCGAUUAGCUGGAGCAGCCAACUUCAACGUACUGUGGCGGCUUCGUCGGUGGAGGCUGAGUAUCAAGCGACAGCGGCAGCUGUUCGUGAGGCUUUGUGGCUUCGCAAGCUGAUGGUUGAUUUGGGUUUGCCUGAGAGCGCUAUCAGAAUCCAAAUAGAUUCCCAGGGGGCGCUUAGCUUAGGAAAUAACCCGAUCACGUCUGCUCGGUCGAAGCACAUCGACAUGCAGCAUCACAUAGUGCGUGAGAGGGUGAAUAGUGGUGAGGUGCAGUUGGAAUACUGCCCUACGGAGUGGAUGGUUGCGGAUGUGCUCACUAAGGCUCUGGGCUAGAUAAAAUUCAAACGCUGCCGAGAUGCGAUGGACCUUGAGUGAAGCGUGCAGAUGAACUUGGUACUCGUUGGGAUACGGCCCGAGGGGGCGUGUUAAGACGGUCCUCUCCCAACUCGUGUGGUUGUCGACCAGGGGAUUUGACCCCGGGUCUGCACUUGACUAAUGGGGAAGACUUACUCCAGAACCUUAUGGGGCUACCGAUGCAUAGCCGGUAGCUAAGUGAUAGACAUUAGGGCACCGUCAGGACGGCGCAGUGAGAUCGCGGAAUGUACGUGCAGUUAGAUCGCGGAAUGUACGAGUUUUCCGCUAGCGCUGGUAUUUAGGGCGGUGACUGCGCUUAUUUGUUUAUCUCACUACGAUCGGUAUUCCUCAAAGGAAUCUGCUCAAGUCCUGCCGAACGCUAAUAAUACUCUUUACAUAACUUGUAACAUUUUAUCGUGCUAAAUAUCUUCGCCGCCGGCAAUUCUUCCGAGAUAACAAUCAGUGUUAGCCGUCACCGUCGCCAAUUCUUCAAUAAAUUUAAGAAGAAAGGAGAUUGUCCCGUAGAGCGAUUGACAGCGUUGUUCAUCGCGAAUUCUGCAGCCGAGAGAUAGGUGUCCGAAACACGAGUGUUGUUGCCAGCGUAGGUUCGCAGCAUAUCACCCAAAGUGCGAUUCAUUCGCUCAGUCUGACCGUCAGUUUGUGGAUGAUAGGCAGUAGAAAGGCUUACUCGAAAAUUAGCCAAAGUGCCAAGGGCUCCCCAAAACUUGGCACCAAACUGAGGUCCUCUAUCAGAAAUAAUCUGUUUGGGAACACCAUGCAGACGCACCACGUUAUCAAAGAACAGUCGAGCGGUUUGCUCCGCGGUAACUGUCGUGGUGGUCGGUACCAAAUGUACCAUCUUGGUCAAGCGGUCAACAAUGAUGAGGACAGCGUCGUAUCCCCCCUCGGACAGAGGAAGUGCGACGACAUAGUCAAGCGACACACUCUCCCAAGGCGAGUCUGGAAUCGGCAAGGGCUGAAGCAGGCCCGAUUGCUUACCAGAUUUUGGCUUCUGCCGUUGGCAAACAUCACACUGCUCAACAAAGGAAGCAGCAUCACGAGCCAUCCGUGGCCACCAGAAGUUGCAACGUAGCAACUCAAUAAGGCGAGUAGAACCCACAUGACCGGAAAGUGGAUCCUGAUGCACACGGGAAAGGAUAUCACGGCGAAGCAAAUUAUCAUUAUGGACAACUGUUUGACGUUGAUCACCAUCAGUGCGAACCCAGAGACCCUGGUCAACUGCUCGACGUUAUUGGGAUCGUUGAACCAAGGGUCGUUUUUGUAUCCGUCCACGAUUCGUUUGGCAAAAGCAGAAAUCGUCAAAUCGGCAGCCACAGACUGACGUCGAGUCACAACCAACAGGACGACAGAGUGCAAGGAAGGAUGGCGACUCAAAGCAUCAGCAACGUUAACGGAACCAGACACAUGCUCCCAAGUGAAGUUAAAACGCUGCAUAUAUUCUAACCACCGCACCUGGCGGCGGUUAAGGGUCGGAACACCCUGCAGAAAGGUUAGGGGCUUGUGGUCAGUUUUGACAACGAACGGGCGUCCCUCAAGAUAGCAGCGCCAUUCACGCAAGGUGUGAACAACGGCUAGUAGCUCUUGUUCACCCGUGGUGUAGCCGCGUUCGGCAGCAGAAACUUUCUUGCUGGAAAACGCGACAGGAUGACCGUUCUAAUGCAAAACUGCCCCCGUACCGUGCAGCGAGGCGUCAGAAAUAAGCUCAACACGGAAAGGCUGAGAGUAAUUGGGAAAACGCAGCACUAUAUCGUCCGCAACAGCACGUUUUAUAGCCUCAAAAGACGCCUGACAUUCAGCAGUCCAAACGUCAGCGGAAGAAAACGCACCCUGGCGCGUAAGACUCAUCAACGGUGCGGCGAGAGACGAGUAAUUGGCUAUAAACUUGUGAAAGUAAUUGGUAAGCCCUAGGAACUUUUGCAGCUCCAGCAAUGACAUCGGGACAGGCCAGUCAUGCACCGCAGCAGUCUUCUUAGGGUCCAUGCGAACCCCGUCAACGGAAACCACAUGGCCCAGAUACUCAACUUCGGACUUCGCCCAGUGGCACUUGGACUGCUUGGCAUAAAGCUGUUCCCGCCGCAAAACGUUGAGCACCAAACGAAGAUGUUGGAGGUGCUCUUCCUUCGUUUUGGAAUAGACGAGGAUAUCGUCCAGGUAGCACACGACAAACUUAUCGAUGUACGGCCUGAACAUACGGUUAAUUACGGCUUGAAAAGUAGCAGGAGCGUUAACAAGGCCGAAGCUCAGAACCGUGUACUCAAAGUGACCGAAAGGAGUGCGGAAAGCGGUUUUAGGAAUGUCAGACUCAGCAAUGCGAAUCUGGUUAUAUCCCUGCUGCAGCUCUAUAGAGCUAAAGUAAGCAGACCCGCGAAGCUUAUUGAGCAAAUCGUCUACACGCGGAAGAGGGUACCGAUUCUUAGUGGUCAUGGAAUUCAAUCCACGGUAAUCUAUGCACAUGCGUAGGGAACCGUCCUUCUUACCCGCAAACAAGAUCGGGGCAGAGAAGGGAGACGUACUCGGACGAAUCAUGCCUUUAGCAAGCAGCUCAGUAACCUGCCGUUUGACCUCAUUAAGCUCAAGAGGGCUAAGUCAGUACAUAGGGCGUGCGACGGGUUGGGCGUCAGGCACCAACGGAAUUGUGUGAUCCACUAGACGGACUGGAGGAAUACCCGGGAUUUCCCGGAAAACAUCAGCGUAUUCCUCAAGCAGUGCGGAAACUUCAGGGUCCUGAGUGGGAGGAAUCACAGAAGUGGCGUUAAGGCUAACCGAAGGGCGAACCAGCAAAGCAUGUGCCCCCUUGCGAAUAAGAUGCAUAGCAGCCUUACGACCAAUAGACUCAGGGGUGGCGUGCGCACACAUGGCCGCAGCCGCAAAAUUAACAAGGGGCGCCGAGGAGGCAGCACCACUGUCACCUGAAUCAUUAGGAGACGCGCGACAAGGAAUUGAGUACCGAACAGUACCCUUUGACAAACGCAAAAUAUUGUUCUGAAAAUCCAGGGAUGCCCUAAUGUCUAUCACUUAGCUACCGGAUUUGCAUCGGUAGCUCCAUAAGGUUCUGGGGUAAGUCUUCCCCAUUAGUCAGGCGCAGACCCGGGGUCAAAUCCCCUGGUCGACAACCACACGAGUUGGGAGAGGACCGUUUCCUCAACACGCCCCCUCGGGCCGUAUCCCAACGAGUACCAAGUUCAUCUGCACACUUCACACAAGGCCCAUAGCAUCUCGGCAACGUUUGAACUUCACCUCGCCCAGAGCUUUCGUUAGUACAUCCGCAACCAUCCACUCCGUAGGGCAGUAUUCCAACUGCACAUCACCGCUAUUCACCCUCUCACGCACUAUGUGAUGCUGCACGUCGAUGUGCUUCGACCGAGCAGACGUAAUCGGGUUGUUUCCCAAGCUAAGCGCCCCCUGGGAGUCUAUCUGGAUUUUCACCGCGCUCUCAGGCAAGCUCAAAUCAACCAUCAGCUUGCGAAGCCACAAAGCCUCACGAACAGCCGCCGCUGUAGCUUGGUACUCAGCCUCCACCGACGAAGCCGCCACAGUACGUUGAAGUUGGCUGCUCCAGCUAAUCGCAGCCCCAUUAAGAGUGAAUACGUAACCGGACGUAGAACGCCGCGUAACUGGGUCUCCUGCCCAGUCCGAAUCACUGUACCCGGACAUAGCAACGUCGCCAACACCCCCAAAACGCAAUCCUAGUUCGCGAGUCCCCACCAGGUAACGCAGAACGCCAGUUGCCAGGUUCAUGGCACACUUCGUGGGUGCGGCCAUAUGCCGGGACAAAACGCUCAAUGCAUAUGAAAUGUCAGGCCGCGUGUUCGUCGCCAGAUAGUUCAAUUCUCCCACCAAAGCCCUAUACUCGGUGGGAUUGCCCAGCAGCUCCUCUCCGUCCCCCUUAGGAGUGUACCUAAAGCCCGGAGGCAAAGGGGUAGACCUCGGCUUGGCGUCAAUCAUCCUAUGACGCUCCAACAGCUGCGCAAUAUACCUAUGCUGCGACAACACUAUCUCACCCGACUUCUCCCUCCUAAUUUCCAUGCCCAAAAACACCUUCGCUUCUCAAGGUCGCGCACCUUGAAGACCUUCGCAAUUGCAGCUUUAAUUGCCCGGACCAUUUCCGGGUCUUCCGACGCAACAAUAUUGUCAUCUACGUGCACCAAAGCAAUAACAACCCCACGCUCGUCAGUCUUAACAAACAUCGCCGGAUCAGACUUCGAAGGAUAAAGACCCAACUUGGCGAACUCUGCUGAUAGUUUUUCAUACCAGCAACGGGGUGCCUGCUUCAACCCGUAAAUAGACUUCUGCAGCUUGCACGCAAGCGACCGGUCACUGGAUGCAUACCCAGGCGGUUGCUCCAUCCACAACUCCUCCUUCAGCUCACCAUUCAGAAACGCAGUAGACACAUCGAGCUGAUGUACCGUCAUGUUCCGGGCUGCGGCAACUGCUAAUAAAGCACGCAAUGACGAACCACGAGAGGUAGGGGCAAACAACUCCCCAUAAUCAAUCCCCUCACGUUGCUCGAAACCCUUGGCAACUAAACGCGCCUUAAAACGCUCCACGCUGCCGUCAUCGCUGUACUUAACCUUAUAUACCCAACGACACGGCAACAAACGAGUACCAGGAGGUGGCGUCUUCAGCUCCCAAGUACUGUUAGCCAUCUGGGCGGCGAUCUCCUCGUCCAUCGCACGCCGCCAGUCGUCUGCAUGUGGACUUGCAAUUGCUUCCUCAAACGAAUUAGGCUCAGGA
This 14507-nucleotide long non-coding RNA is filed under the name Volvox carteri. Its description in RNAcentral is "long non-coding RNA (VCAR_LNC003029)". Lineage: Eukaryota; Viridiplantae; Chlorophyta; Chlorophyceae; Chlamydomonadales; Volvocaceae. The record is from RNAcentral.